GUCUUUUUGAUUAUAAUUUAAAGUCUAACCUGCCCACUGAAAGUUUUGAAGGGCCGCGGUAUUUUGACUGUGCAAAGGUAGCAUAAUCAUUAGUCUUUUAAUUGGAGGCUUGUAUGAAUGGUUGGAUGAGGUAUUAACUGUCUCGAUUUAAUAAAUAAUAGAAUUUUAUUUUUAAGUUAAAAAGCUUAAAUAAAGUUAAAAGACGAGAAGACCCUAUAGAUCUUUAUAAUUAAUUUUAUAAUAAUUUUUUAGAUAGAAUUUAUUUUUAUAAGAUUAAUUAUUUUAUUGGGGUGAUAAAAAAAUUUAAAAAACUUUUUUUUUAUAUAAACAAUGAUAUUUGAAUAAUUGAUCCAUUUUUUGUGAUUAUAAGAUUAAGUUACCUUAGGGAUAACAGCGUAAUUUUUUUGGAGAGUUCUUAUCGAUAAAAAAGAUUGCGACCUCGAUGUUGAAUUAAAGGUUAAUUUUAGGUGUAGAAGUUUAAAAUUUUGGUCUGUUCGACCAUUAAAUC
Molecule: ribosomal RNA, 508 nt
Filed under: Parachauliodes niger
Lineage: Eukaryota; Metazoa; Arthropoda; Insecta; Megaloptera; Corydalidae
Description: partial large subunit ribosomal RNA
Rfam family: Bacterial large subunit ribosomal RNA
Source: RNAcentral